Molecule: long non-coding RNA, 1426 nt
Filed under: Phoenix dactylifera (date palm)
Lineage: Eukaryota; Viridiplantae; Streptophyta; Magnoliopsida; Arecales; Arecaceae
Description: long non-coding RNA (PDAC_LNC008423)
Source: RNAcentral
UUCUUUCGCUUUCCAUCUAUCCCUUUAAAUCCCAUCCAUCUUAUACAGAGAAGCGUAUCGAUCCCCCUCCUAUCCAUCCUCAUAAACUUAUUGCCGACCGCCACUCCCGCAACGCCACCUUUCCGCCCCCCACGUAGCCAUGCUCUUCUCGGCCGCUGCCCUGAUACCGCCCUCCUCGUCGGCGCUGCUGCGGCCUCGUCUACCCGUUUCUCUUCCCGGUACGCCCCCUUUCCUUCCAUCCAUCAGGCUCUUAAAGGAUCAUGAUUUAUUUGUUCCUGGUUUCCCCUGUUCUUUCCUCUUUCAUCCGUCGAGGUAUCAAACUAGAGUUUGGUUCGGUUUCGUCCGCUUUUUGUUCAAUUUUUUGAUGUUCGAAGAGCAGUGGAGGAGGACUACGAGACCGCCGGAAUGUUCUUUGACCCCUCAAUUAGCUAGGUUUGGGUCUAGAAGAUAGCAAUGACCAAUGAGGCAAUGGUGCAUCAUUUCAUCCAAAUGAUCUAAAUCUCUCGCUUUGUUCCAUGCAAACUGUGCUUGAGAUUUUCCUCCUAUUUCUAUCAGUGUACCGAAAAAGCCCCAAGUGUUAAUGAAGUGUGACCAUAAAUGGUUUUAGAUGGAUUAGCAGGCUUUGAGAAGUUUUUUUUUUUUUUGUCUGUCUCUCUCUCUCUCUCUUCUCUUUCAAGCGCCGUCUGAUGGAUCCAUGAUAAUUUCUUUCCUUUUUCUUCCUUGAACAAGUGGCAAUGGUGUACUUAUCAGUGGUUUUAGAUGGAUAGAUUACGUCGAGAUCUAAGCUGUCUUUAUUAUUAUUAUUAUUAUUAUUAUUUUCUUUUUCCUUUCAAAAGAAAGUAGGAUUUGAGAUUCUGGCAAAUGAUGCAAGUUGUUUCAUAUUCUGAUCAUGUGCCAUGAAACAAGGGUAAUUGAUAUCUUCCCUAAAUAAUGCAGUUAUUUAGUGAGGGAAAUUUGAUCAAAGAAACUUUAGCUCUUUAUCUUCUUCCUGCUCUCAUAUAUAAGCCGUUGUUGUAAAUUUGGUCAGUCCUUUCUAUGUGGAAAUGAAAGAAGUGUAACAGAGAAAAUAUUAUAAAUAAUAUUUAUUUAUACACAUAAUAUUAAGGUUUUAAUCAGAUAAGAUCAGGGCCAUCCAUCCUGCUACUCCAUAAUUUAUCUUUAUUAUUUUUGGAGGAAAUAUUUCUAUAAGGCGGUAACCCAGGCCUCGUGCAGCCUUUUCUCGUUGUCUUCUUUCUACACGGGACAUGGGUGGUCCUAAUCAAGAGGAAAUGAGGAAUGGAUGAAAUGAUGAUUUGCUGUUUGUGCUCGUGUACCAGGUCCGUCUAAUCUAGCUGUCGUACGGAGGCCAGAGGGUAACCUAUGUCUUGCCCGCUGGAGGUGCCAUGCAAUAUCCAAAGGAGGCGCUCAAGGUACUGAUGCUCUUUAA